UAACAAGGAUUCCCCUAGUAACGGCGAGCGAAGCGGGAAGAGCUCAAAUUUGAAAGCUGGCGUCUUCGGCGUCCGCGUUGUAAUCUCGAGACGUGUUUUCCGUGCGGCUCUAUGGACAAGUCCCUUGGAACAGGGCAUCGUAGAGGGUGAAAAUCCCGUACUUGCCAUGGAAGUACCGUGCUUUGUGAUACACGCUCCAAGAGUCGAGUAGUUUGGGAUUGCUGCUCAAAGUGGGUGGUAGACUCCAUCUAAAGCUAAAUAUCGGGGAGAGACCGAUAGCGAACAAGUACCGUGAGGGAAAGAUGAAAAGCACUUUGGAAAGAGAGUUAAAAGUACGUGAAAUUGUCGAAAGGGAAGCACUUGAAGUCAGCCAUGCUGCUUGAGACUCAGCCUGGCUUUUGCUUGGUGUAUUUCUCGGUAGCAAGCCAGCAUUGGUUUGUGUCGUCGGAGAAGCGUAUGGGGAAUGUGGCAUCCUCGGAUGUGUUAUAGCCCUGUGCAGGAUACGACGGCGUAGACCAAGGAACGCAGUGUGCCCUCUGGGCGGGUCUUCGGACACCUUCACACUUAGGAU
Molecule: ribosomal RNA, 571 nt
Filed under: Malassezia restricta
Lineage: Eukaryota; Fungi; Basidiomycota; Malasseziomycetes; Malasseziales; Malasseziaceae
Description: LSU rRNA
Rfam family: Eukaryotic large subunit ribosomal RNA
Source: RNAcentral